This 440-nucleotide ribosomal RNA is filed under the name uncultured bacterium. RNAcentral describes it as "partial 16S ribosomal RNA". It matches the Rfam family "Bacterial small subunit ribosomal RNA", at positions 338 to 795 of the family's 1533-position model. The record is from RNAcentral.
CCUACGGGGGGCAGCAGUGGGGAAUAUUGCACAAUGGGGGAAACCCUGAUGCAGCGACGCCGCGUGAGUGAAGAAGCGCCUCGGCGCGUAAAGCUCUGUCAGCAGGAACGAUAAUGACGGUACCUGAAGAAGAAGCCCCGGCUAACUACGUGCCAGCAGCCGCGGUAAUACGUAGGGGGCAAGCGUUAUCCGGAUUUACUGGGUGUAAAGGGAGCGUAGACGGCGGGGCAAGUCUGGAGUGAAAGGCCGGGGCCCAACCCCGGGACCGCUCUGGAAACUGCCCGGCUGGAGUGCGGGAGAGGUAAGCGGAAUUCCGUGUGUAGCGGUGAAAUGCGUAGAUAUACGGAGGAACACCAGUGGCGAAGGCGGAUUGCUGGACAGUAACUGACGCUGAGGCGCGAAAGCGUGGGGAGCAAACAGGAUUAGAUACCCGGGUAGUC